GUGAAAGUUGCCUUAAAAUCUCUCCUUGAAAUACAACAAAGUUUGAUACUUUUAACCUCUGUGAGAUUCCCAACACAUUUUGUUGAAAUGAUUUAUUUACUUAUGUGUCAUAUUGUUGUCUUUAUUUGAAGAAUUCAGCGUGAAGCCUACCACAUACCAUAUGACUAAUAAUUGUGUCUUGAAUGAAUAUUUGAACAAAUGAAUAAAUCAGUCAAACUGGGUCCCUGGACCAUGCAGAGAACAACUGUCCCUUCCUCUUUGGUGGUUUCCUCACAACUCUUGAGGUGCUCCUUGUCUGUGGCACAGAGGUGCAGACCAAGUCACUGGGACAUGGCCAAUGGAAUGUUUCCACGGCAACAGUGGCAGCAAUUCAGGACACUGCGCCAGAGGAGUAAAAUUCCUGUCUAG
Molecule: long non-coding RNA, 408 nt
Filed under: Sus scrofa (pig)
Lineage: Eukaryota; Metazoa; Chordata; Mammalia; Artiodactyla; Suidae
Description: lncRNA (ENSSSCG00015072214.1)
Source: RNAcentral